This 74-nucleotide transfer RNA is filed under the name Estrella lausannensis. It matches the Rfam family "tRNA". From Rfam's summary of the family: Transfer RNA (tRNA) molecules are approximately 80 nucleotides in length. Their secondary structure includes four short double-helical elements and three loops (D, anti-codon, and T loops). Further hydrogen bonds mediate the characteristic L-shaped molecular structure. tRNAs have two regions of fundamental functional importance: the anti-codon, which is responsible for specific mRNA codon recognition, and the 3' end, to which the tRNAs corresponding amino acid is attached (by aminoacyl-tRNA synthetases). tRNAs cope with the degeneracy of the genetic code in two manners: having more than one tRNA (with a specific anti-codon) for a particular amino acid; and 'wobble' base-pairing, i.e. permitting non-standard base-pairing at the 3rd anti-codon position. The record is from Rfam by way of RNAcentral. Lineage: Bacteria; Pseudomonadati; Chlamydiota; Chlamydiia; Parachlamydiales; Candidatus Criblamydiaceae.
GGGGCCGUAGUUCAGUUGGCUAGAACGCUACAUUCGCAUUGUAGAGGCCAGGGGUUCGAAUCCCCUCGGCUCCA